GCGACCCAGGUCAGGC
This 16-nucleotide ribosomal RNA is filed under the name Senecio vulgaris. Its description in RNAcentral is "partial 25S ribosomal RNA". The record is from RNAcentral. RNAcentral also lists the same sequence under 2 other names. Lineage: Eukaryota; Viridiplantae; Streptophyta; Magnoliopsida; Asterales; Asteraceae.